This 253-nucleotide ribosomal RNA is filed under the name uncultured bacterium. RNAcentral describes it as "partial 16S ribosomal RNA". It matches the Rfam family "Bacterial small subunit ribosomal RNA", at positions 524 to 776 of the family's 1533-position model. The record is from RNAcentral.
UACGUAGGAGACGAGCGUUGUCCGGAGUUACUGGGCGUAAAGGGUGCGCAGGUGGCGGCGCGCGUGGGGGGUGAAAUCGCCCGGCUUAACUGGGCGGGGGCCUUCCAGACGGCGUGGCUUGAGCAGCGGAGGGGGACGUGGAAUUCCGGGUGGAGCGGUGAAAUGCGUAGAUAUCAGGAGGAACACCGGUGGCGAAGGCGGGUCUCUGGGCCGAUAUUGACGCUGAGGAGCGAAAGCGUGGGGAGCGAACAGG